GUCAGGUAGGGAAGAUAGAAAUGUAUCCUCAGCGAGGUAAAAGGUAAGAAUAAGUCAGGUAGGGGAAGAAAGAAAUGUAUCCUCAGCGAGGUAAAAGGUAAGAAUAAGUCAGGUAGGGGAAGAAAGAAAUGUAUCCUCAGCGAGGUAAAAGGUAAGAAUAAGUCAGGUAGGGGAAGAAAGAAAUGUAUCCUCAGCGAGGUAAAAGGUAAGAAUAAGUCAGGUAGGGGAAGAAAGAAAUGUAUCCUCAGCGAGGUAAAAGGUAAGAAUAAGUCAGGUAGGGGAAGAAAGAAAUGUAUCCUCAGCGAGGUAAAAGGUAAGAAUAAGUCAGGUAGGGGAAGAAAGAAAUGUGUCCUCAGCGAGGUAAAAGGUAAGAAUAAGUCAGGUAGGGGAAGAAAGAAAUGUAUCCUCAGCGAGGUAAAAGGUAAGAAUAAGUCAGGUAGGGGAAGAAAGAAAUGUAUCCUCAGCGAGGUAAAAGGUAAGAAUAAGUCAGUUAGGGGAAGAAAGAAAUGUAUCCUCAGCGAGGUAAAAGGUAAGAAUAAGUCAGGUAGGGUAAGAAAGAAAUGUAUCCUCAGCGAGGUAAAAUGUAAGAAUAAGUCAGGUAGGGGAAGAAAGAAAUGUAUCCUCAGCGAGGUAAAAGGUAAGAAUAAAUCAGGUAGGGGAGAAAGAAAUGUAUCCUCAGCGAGGUAAGAAUAAGUCAGGUAGGGGAAGAUAGAAAUGUAUCCUCAUUGAGGUAAAAGGUAAGAAUAAGUCAGGUAGGGGAAGAAAGAAAUGUAUCCUCAGCGAGGUAAAAGGUAAGAAUAAGUCAGGUAGGGGAAGAAAGAAAUGUAUCCUCAGCGAGGUAAAAGGUAAGAAUAAGUCAGGUAGGGGAAGAAAGAAAUAUAUCCAGCGAGGUAAAAGGUAAGAAUAAGUCAGGUAGGGGAAGAAAGAAAUGUAUCCUCAGCGAGGUAAAAGGUAAGAAUAAGUCAGGUAGGGGAAGAAAGAAAUGUAUCCUCAGCGAGGUAAAAGGUAAGAAUAAGUCAGGUAGGGGAAGAAAGAAAUAUAUCCUCAGCGAGGUAAAAGGUAAGAAUAAGUCAGGUAGGGGAAGAAAGAAAUGUAUCCUCAGCGAGGUAAAAGGUAAGAAUAAUUCAGGUAGGGGAAGAAAGAAAUGUAUCCUCAGCGAGGUAAAUAAGAAUAAUUCAGGUAGGGGAAGAAAGAAAUGUAUCCUCAGCGAGGUAAAUAAGAAUAAGUCAUGUAGGGGAAGAAAGAAAUGUAUCCUCAGCUAGGUAAAAGGUAAGAAUAAGUCAGGUAGGGGAGAAAGAAAUGUAUCCUCAGUGAGGUAAAAGGUAAGAAUAAGUCAGGUAGGGGAAAAAGAAAUGUAUCCUCAGCGAGAUAAAAGGUAAGAAUAAGUCAGGUAGGGGAAGAAAGAAAUGUAUCCUCAGCGAGGUUAAAGGUAAGAAUAAGUCAGGUAGGGGAAGAAAGAAAUGUAUCCUCAGCGAGGUAAAAGGUAAGAAUAAGUCAGGUAGGGGAAGAAAGAAAUAUAUCCUCAGCGAGGUAAAAGGUAAGAAUAAGUCAGGUAGGGGAAGAAAGAAAUGUAUCCUCAGCGAGGUAAAAUGUAAGAAUAAGUCAGGUAGGGGAAGAAAGAAAUGUAUCCUCAGCGAGGUAAAAGGUAAGAAUAAAUCAGGUAGGGGAGAAAGAAAUGUAUCCUCAGCGAGGUAAGAAUAAGUCAGGUAGGGGAAGAUAGAAAUGUAUCCUCAUUGAGGUAAAAGGUAAGAAUAAGUCAGGUAGGGGAAGAAAGAAAUGUAUCCUCAGCGAGGUAAAAGGUAAGAAUAAGUCAGGUAGGGGAAGAAAGAAAGAAAUGUAUCCUCAGCGAGGUAAAAGGUAAGAAUAAGUCAGGUAGGGGAAGAAAGAAAUAUAUCCAGCGAGGUAAAAGGUAAGAAUAAGUCAGGUAGGGGAAGAAAGAAAUGUAUCCUCAGCGAGGUAAAAGGUAAGAAUAAGUCAGGUAGGGGAAGAAAGAAAUGUAUCCUCAGCGAGGUAAAAGGUAAGAAUAAGUCAGGUAGGGGAAGAAAGAAAUAUAUCCUCAGCGAGGUAAAAGGUAAGAAUAAGUCAGGUAGGGGAAGAAAGAAAUGUAUCCUCAGCGAGGUAAAAGGUAAGAAUAAUUCAGGUAGGGGAAGAAAGAAAUGUAUCCUCAGCAAGGUAAAUAAGAAUAAUUCAGGUAGGGGAAGAAAGAAAUGUAUCCUCAGCGAGGUAAAUAAGAAUAAGUCAUGUAGGGGAAGAAAGAAAUGUAUCCUCAGCUAGGUAAAAGGUAAGAAUAAGUCAGGUAGGGGAGAAAGAAAUGUAUCCUCAGUGAGGUAAAAGGUAAGAAUAAGUCAGGUAGGGGAAAAAGAAAUGUAUCCUCAGCGAGAUAAAAGGUAAGAAUAAGUCAGGUAGGGGAAGAAAGAAAUGUAUCCUCAGCGAGGUUAAAGGUAAGAAUAAGUCAGGUAGGGGAAGAAAGAAAUGUAUCCUCAGUGAGGUAAAAGGUAAGAAUAAGUCAGGUAGGGGAAGAAAGAAAUAUAUCCUCAGCGAGGUAAAAGGUAAGAAUAAGUCAGGUAGGGGAAGAAAGAAAUGUAUCCUCAGCGAGGUAAAAGGUAAGAAUAAUUCAGGUAGUGGAAGAAAGAAAUGUAUCCUCAGCGAGGUAAAUAAGAAUAAGUCAGGUAGCGGAAGAAAGAAAUGUAUCCUCAGCUAGGUAAAAUGUAAGAAUAAGUCAGGUAGGGGAGAAAGAAAUGUAUCCUCAGCGAGGUAAAAGUAAAGAAUAAGUCACGUACGGGAAGAAAGAAAUGUAUCCUCAGCGAGGUUAAAGGUAAGAAUAAGUCAGGUAGGGGAAGAAAGAAAUGUAUCCUCAGCGAGGUAAAAGGUAAGAAUAAGUCAGGUAGGGGAAGAAAGAAAUGUAUCCUCAGCGAGGUAAAAGGUAAGAAUAAGUCAGGUAGGGGAAGAAAGAAAUGUAUCCUCAGCGAGGUAAAAGGUAAGAAUAAGUCAGGUAGGGGAAGAAAGAAAUGUAUCCUCAGCGAGGUAAAAGGUAAGAAUAAGUCAGGUAGGGGAAGAAAGAAAUGUAUCCUCAGCGAGGUAAAAGGUAAGAAUAAGUCAGGUAGGGGAAGAAAGAAAUAUAUCCUCAGUGAGGUAAAAGGUAAGAAUAAGUCAGGUAGGGGAAAAAAGAAUUGUUCAGAAAAUAAUGUUAAGUCAAACCAAAGGGAGAAGUGUACAGAAAGGUUGGGACCUUCACUUACAGAGGGAACAACCAAGAGUCAGCUUGCCAUCUCACUCCUUCCUUCUGUACUUCUGAGCACACCCCCCCAACUAUUCAUUCACUCUUCAGAAUGCUUCCUGUUCAUUGAAAGAGAAAGUUUGAGGACACUUAGCGUUUUUUUGUGAAAAAUGCUCAACAUUGGGCAAGAUCACAGAGUCUUGAACAUCUUUCUCCGAAGAUGAAAGUUGCAGUUUCAGAAAAAUCCCAAGAUGCAUUCCGCUGGUCCUAAGGGACUUGUUAGAUCUUAUACUUGCUGACUUAAGAUAUAUGGAAUGAUAAAGUUCUAUGGAGAAAGUGCCCUCUGGAGAGGAAGGUGCCGGGUUGUAUUCUAGACUUUUCCUAGUACCACGAAAAGAAGUGGCAUGGUUACCUGUACUAUAAUUAACUAAACAAGAUUCUCAUUGUUACAGAAUUCAGAAAGCUUAUUCUUGAAAGCCUUCUGUCAUUGCUUCUACUUCGGGUGCUCCUGGUCAACAUAGACCUAAAAUAUGUCUGCCGUUACAUCCCCAUAGCCAAAAAACAUGAAAGUUCCUCGGGUUUAUAGGAACACUUCCAGUUCACUUAGCACCCAGAAUCUUA
Long non-coding RNA from Protopterus annectens (West African lungfish), 3838 nucleotides. RefSeq lists it as uncharacterized. The transcript is spliced from 3 exons. NCBI's taxonomy places the organism in Eukaryota, Metazoa, Chordata, Ceratodontiformes, Protopteridae. The record is from RefSeq and is a predicted model, not a curated record.